Peromyscus maniculatus bairdii (prairie deer mouse) is the source of this 880-nucleotide non-coding RNA. The record is from RefSeq and is a predicted model, not a curated record. NCBI's taxonomy places the organism in Eukaryota, Metazoa, Chordata, Mammalia, Rodentia, Cricetidae.
GGCAGGGCCUACUUUUCCUCCUACAUGUAUGGUAUUUUCUUCAGCUCCAUUUCAGUAAUGUCUGUACCUGCUAUGACCUUGUACUAACUGGCCCAAGUGAGAGCCCAAGGUUGUUCUGUCUCCACCCCUGUCCCCAGCACCGAGGUUACAGGCUUCUCUGGCUCACUGCAUGUCCCUGGCAACGCACCGUGUUUUCUUCAUUCCCCAUUUCUGUAGGAAGCAUCUAUCUUUCAGGACAAAUGCCAAAGACCACUGAAAACUGGAAUAGUUAAAUGGUGGCAAAAAGAAAAACCUAUCCUUGAGAACUUCAAAAUAAAGACACAAGACCUACCCUAAAUCAGAUUUCCAGCACUGAAGAGGAAUAUCCUUGAUGUUAUUGCUGGCCCGUGGGAUGCAGUUGGGGAUUUCUGUGCCCACUUUAACAGAUGGCUGGAACCAACUUAAGAGCUUCAGGUCCCACCUCUUGGCAUGCCCAGGAAAAUCAAUGUAAGCUGAGGAAAGACUGGCUUUAGCUCACUCUUGGGGAAGUUUUGGUCCUUAGAGACUUGGAUCUGUGACUUUUUGAUCCCUGCAUGGGUUCCUGGCUUCCUGGGGUUUCACCAUUAUCGAAAAGUGGCAGCAAAUAGGAGAAUCAGCCAUUGCCUGAUUAUGACUCCCAGGAAAGUAAAGCUGAAAGAACAACAUCUCCAGAGUACUAGCAUCAUCAAAGUGGAUUCAGGAGAGGAGAGCCAUUGUAGAAGAGACAUAAUGACUGGGUGAGAACGGUGAUAAGCUUCUUGAUUUGCCAUCAAGAUGUGAAGAACUCCAGAUGCCUGCUUCCAUCAUGAUGAGCUCCACUGUGCCUUCCCUGAGGUGGUGAAUUACCUUUUGAAGCUUUGAG